AUUGAACGCUGGCGGCAUGCUUUACACAUGCAAGUCGAACGGUAACAGGCCUUCGGGUGCUGACGAGUGGCGAACGGGUGAGUAAUGCAUCGGAACGUGCCCAAUCGUGGGGGAUAACGUAGCGAAAGUUACGCUAAUACCGCAUAAGCCCUGAGGGGGAAAGUGGGGGACCGCAAGGCCUCACGCGAAUGGAGCGGCCGAUGUCAGAUUAGCUAGUUGGUGGGGUAAAGGCUCACCAAGGCGACGAUCUGUAGCGGGUCUGAGAGGAUGAUCCGCCACACUGGGACUGAGACACGGCCCAGACUCCUACGGGAGGCAGCAGUGGGGAAUUUUGGACAAUGGGCGCAAGCCUGAUCCAGCCAUGCCGCGUGCGGGACGAAGGCCUUCGGUUGUAAACCGCGUUUCCAGCCGGAAAGAAAUACGCUGUUUUAAUUACUAGACAGUGAUGACGGUACCGGAAGAAGAAGCACCGGCUAACUACGUAGCCAGC
This 490-nucleotide ribosomal RNA is filed under the name uncultured bacterium. Its description in RNAcentral is "bacterial SSU rRNA". It matches the Rfam family "Bacterial small subunit ribosomal RNA", at positions 30 to 512 of the family's 1533-position model. The record is from RNAcentral.